UACGUAGGGGGCAAGCGUUGUCCGGAUUUAUUGGGCGUAAAGAGCGUGUAGGCGGCCAUACAGGUCCGUUGUGAAAACUGGAGGCUUAACCUCCAGACGUCGAUGGAAACCGUAUGGCUAGAGUCCGGAAGAGGAGAGUGGAAUUCCUGGUGUAGCGGUGAAAUGCGCAGAUAUCAGGAAGAACACCCGUGGCGAAGGCGGCUCUCUGGGACGGUACUGACGCUGAGACGCGAAAGCGUGGGGAGCGAACAGG
This 253-nucleotide ribosomal RNA is filed under the name uncultured bacterium. Its description in RNAcentral is "partial 16S ribosomal RNA". It matches the Rfam family "Bacterial small subunit ribosomal RNA", at positions 524 to 776 of the family's 1533-position model. The record is from RNAcentral. RNAcentral also lists the same sequence under 1 other name.